UACAGAGGUGGCAAGCGUUGUUCGGAAUUACUGGGCGUAAAGGGCGCGUAGGCGGCCGCCUAAGUCAGACGUGAAAUCCCCAAGCUUAACUUGGGAACUGCGUCUGAUACUGGGUGGCUUGAGUUCGGGAGAGGAAUGUGGAAUUCCAGGUGUAGCGGUGAAAUGCGCAGAUAUCUGGAGGAACACCGGUGGCGAAGGCGGCAUUCUGGACCGAAACUGACGCUGAGGCGCGAAAGCCAGGGGAGCAAACGGG
RNAcentral lists this ribosomal RNA (253 nucleotides) under uncultured bacterium. Its description in RNAcentral is "partial 16S ribosomal RNA". It matches the Rfam family "Bacterial small subunit ribosomal RNA", at positions 524 to 776 of the family's 1533-position model. The record is from RNAcentral.